UACAGAGGGGGCAAGCGUUAUUCGGAAUUAUUGGGCGUAAAGGGCGCGUAGGCGGCCUGACAAGUGGAAGGUGAAAUCCCUCGGCUUAACCGAGGAACUGCCCUCCAAACUGUCUGGCUUGAGACCGGGAGAGGUGAGUGGAAUUCCCAGUGUAGCGGUGAAAUGCGUAGAUAUUGGGAGGAACACCAGAAGCGAAGGCGGCUCACUGGCCCGAGACUGACGCUGAGGCGCGAAAGCGUGGGGAGCAAACAGG
This 253-nucleotide ribosomal RNA is filed under the name uncultured bacterium. RNAcentral describes it as "partial 16S ribosomal RNA". It matches the Rfam family "Bacterial small subunit ribosomal RNA", at positions 524 to 776 of the family's 1533-position model. The record is from RNAcentral.